This 254-nucleotide ribosomal RNA is filed under the name uncultured bacterium. Its description in RNAcentral is "partial 16S ribosomal RNA". It matches the Rfam family "Bacterial small subunit ribosomal RNA", at positions 524 to 777 of the family's 1533-position model. The record is from RNAcentral.
UACGUAGGGGGCUAGCGUUGUCCGGAAUCAUUGGGCGUAAAGCGCGUGUAGGCGGCCCGGUAAGUCCGCUGUGAAAGUCCAGGGCUCAACCCUGGAAUGCCGGUGGAUACUGUCGGGCUCGAGUCCGGAAGAGGCGAGUGGAAUUCCUGGUGUAGCGGUGAAAUGCGCAGAUAUCAGGAGGAACACCGAUGGCGAAGGCAGCUCGCUGGGACGGUACUGACGCUGAGGCGCGACAGCGUGGGGAGCAAACAGGG